Molecule: long non-coding RNA, 1094 nt
Filed under: Eucalyptus grandis
Lineage: Eukaryota; Viridiplantae; Streptophyta; Magnoliopsida; Myrtales; Myrtaceae
Description: long non-coding RNA (EGRA_LNC002466)
Source: RNAcentral
AAAGCUUAAGCCAUUAGAUGAAGGGCAUGUUUGGUUUGACUUUGAAGAAAUGGCUUUGGGAAAAUGUAAAUACCUUUGUAGUAAAUGAGUUUUUCGAAAUGCUUUAGUAUUCAACAAAUUGUAACAUUAAAGUGCACUGGAAAGUGACUUUGGUGUAAAUACCGUUGGGUAAACCCUACAUUUGCAAAGGGCUUUUAUCCAUAUAUAUAUAAUAUCAAAUCAAAUCAAAUCCUAUGAAGCUUUGCUACCUACCAACCGCUAGCCAACUGUCGGUGGAUAGGCAGCGGCUGCCUAAGGUCACACGACCCAGGCAGUGAUUAUCAGCCUUCGACGACUGCUGGGGAAGAGGAAGAUGAAUGGUCAACCCAAAAAAAAGUCAACGGGUGAACAAUAGAAAUAGACUUACUUUUUCAAAAUGCCAAAAGCUCAAAGCAAGUCUCCAACUAUUUUAGAAUUGUGGAAUGUUGACAUUUGGUCGAUGGGCUUCCAAAAAUGCUUGCCAAACAUCUAAUAUUUUUCCCAAGGGGUUUAGGAGCUUAGAGCCCCUUGGGAAAGCUAAACCAAAUAGGGCAAGAGGCAUAAUUUAUUAUUUAAAUAUUCUAGUCUUUUGCAUAGUACUAAGCAUGGAAAUUUAAUUGGGGAGGCAAAUGAGGCAUUGUGAGAUUUAAACUCGGGACCUACAUUGUGAGAUUUAAACUCGGGACCUACAGCUUUGAUAUCAUAUGAAAUUUUAUAGGACCACUACCAACUAUUCUAAAACGUUAACUUAUUAGAUAAAUACGUUGUUUAUUAUUUAAAUAUUCUAACAUUAAUAGAUGUCAUUAUUAAACACCAGGUAGCUCCCACUUGAGUCACAUCUAUACUCUCUAUAAAUUUUAAAUUAAGAAGCGAAUGUCUUAAGAUAAGCAAAAUAAUUGGCCUUUUGAUUUAUAUCAGUUAAUUUAUAUCAGGUCUUGUCUUUGCAAGUGCUAGAUUAAGAUUAACGUCGUUUUACUGCGAAAAAAGACAAGUGCGUCGAUGUUAAUGAUGUCUACUCUGCCCACCUAACGAUGCUGACCUUCUGGAUUCUUGUGAUUCCGCAAAUUUUACGUAUU